GGAGAGGUGGCUGAGUGGCCGAAAGCAGCGCACUGCUAAUGCGUUAAGGCAGAAAUGCCUUCGUGGGUUCGAAUCCCACCCUCUCCGCCG
RNAcentral lists this transfer RNA (90 nucleotides) under Candidatus Jorgensenbacteria bacterium GWC1_48_12. RNAcentral describes it as "tRNA-Ser". It matches the Rfam family "tRNA". Rfam says of the family: Transfer RNA (tRNA) molecules are approximately 80 nucleotides in length. Their secondary structure includes four short double-helical elements and three loops (D, anti-codon, and T loops). Lineage: Bacteria; Candidatus Joergenseniibacteriota. The record is from RNAcentral.